CCUACGGGCGGCAGCAGUGGGGAAUAUUGGACAAUGGGGGGAACCCUGAUCCAGCCAUGCCGCGUGUGUGAAGAAGGCCCUCGGGUUGUAAAGCACUUUCAGUGAGGAAGAACGCCUGGUGGUUAAUACCCAUCAGGAAAGACAUCACUCACAGAAGAAGCACCGGCUAACUCCGUGCCAGCAGCCGCGGUAAUACGGAGGGUGCGAGCGUUAAUCGGAAUUACUGGGCGUAAAGCGCGCGUAGGUGGCUUGAUAAGCCGGUUGUGAAAGCCCCGGGCUCAACCUGGGAACAGCAUCCGGAACUGUCAAGCUAGAGUGCAGGAGAGGAAGGUAGAAUUCCCGGUGUAGCGGUGAAAUGCGUAGAGAUCGGGAGGAAUACCAGUGGCGAAGGCGGCCUUCUGGACUGACACUGACACUGAGGUGCGAAAGCGUGGGUAGCAAACAGGAUUAGAUACCCCGGUAGUC
RNAcentral lists this ribosomal RNA (465 nucleotides) under Vreelandella stevensii. Its description in RNAcentral is "partial 16S ribosomal RNA". It matches the Rfam family "Bacterial small subunit ribosomal RNA", at positions 338 to 795 of the family's 1533-position model. Lineage: Bacteria; Pseudomonadati; Pseudomonadota; Gammaproteobacteria; Oceanospirillales; Halomonadaceae. The record is from RNAcentral.